Molecule: ribosomal RNA, 464 nt
Filed under: uncultured bacterium
Lineage: Bacteria
Description: partial 16S ribosomal RNA
Rfam family: Bacterial small subunit ribosomal RNA
Source: RNAcentral
AUGAACGCUGGCGGCGUGCUUAACACCUGCAAGUCGAACGGAAAGGCUCCUGCUUGCAGGGGUACUCGAGUGGCGAACGGGAGAGUAACACGUGGGGGAUCUGCCCUGCACUUCGGGAUAAGCCUGGGAAACUGGGUCUAAUACCGGAUAGGACGAUGGUUUGGAUGCCAUUGUGGAAAGUUUUUCGGUGUGGGAUGAGCUCGCGGCCUAUCAGCUUGUUGGUGGGGUAAUGGCCUACCAAGGCGUCGACGGGUAGCCGGCCUGAGAGGGUGUACGGCCACAUUGGGACUGAGAUACGGCCCAGACUCCUACGGGAGGCAGCAGUGGGGAAUAUUGCACAAUGGGCGGAAGCCUGAUGCAGCGACGCCGCGUGGGGGAUGACGGCCUUCGGGUUGUAAACUCCUUUCGCUAGGGACGAAGCGCAAGUGACGGUACCUGGAGAAGAAGCACCGGCUAACUACGUG